This 519-nucleotide ribosomal RNA is filed under the name uncultured bacterium. Its description in RNAcentral is "partial 16S ribosomal RNA". It matches the Rfam family "Bacterial small subunit ribosomal RNA", at positions 355 to 868 of the family's 1533-position model. The record is from RNAcentral.
UGGGGAAUAUUGCACAAUGGGCGCAAGCCUGAUGCAGCCAUGCCGCGUGUGUGAAGAAGGCCUUCGGGUUGUAAAGCACUUUCAGCGAGGAGGAAGGUGGUGAACUUAAUACGUUCAUCAAUUGACGUUACUCGCAGAAGAAGCACCGGCUAACUCCGUGCCAGCAGCCGCGGUAAUACGGAGGGUGCAAGCGUUAAUCGGAAUUACUGGGCGUAAAGCGCACGCAGGCGGUUUGUUAAGUCAGAUGUGAAAUCCCCGGGCUCAACCUGGGAACUGCAUUUGAAACUGGCAAGCUAGAGUCUCGUAGAGGGGGGUAGAAUUCCAGGUGUAGCGGUGAAAUGCGUAGAGAUCUGGAGGAAUACCGGUGGCGAAGGCGGCCCCCUGGANGAAGACUGACGCUCAGGUGCGAAAAGCGUGGGGAGCAAACAGAUUAGNUACCCUGGUAGUCCACGCUGUAAACGAUGUCGAUUUUGGAGGUUGUGCCCCUNAGGCGNGGNUUCCGAGCUAACGGUUAAAUGA